UUGCCAGCACAUAUAUUAAAAUUAGAAAGAUACAGAGAAGAUUAGCGUGGUCCCUGAGCAAGGAUGACAGCAAAUUUGUGAAGCAUUCCAUAUUUUU
Papio anubis (olive baboon) is the source of this 97-nucleotide small nuclear RNA. NCBI's taxonomy places the organism in Eukaryota, Metazoa, Chordata, Mammalia, Primates, Cercopithecidae. The record is from Ensembl.